GACUCGGUCUGGGUGGUGGGUGGCGAAGGGUGAGUAUGUAUCGGAACGUGCCCGGUAGCGGGGGAUAACUACCCGAAAGCGUGGCUAUACCGCAACGCCCUACGGGGGAAAGCGGGGGACCUUCGGGCCUCACACUAUCGGAGCGGCCGAUAUCGGAUUAGCUAGUUGGUGGGGUAACGGCUCACCAAGGCGACGAUCCGUAGCUGGUUUGAGAGGACGACCAGCCACACUGGGACUGAGACACGGCCCAGACUCCUACGGGAGGCAGCAGUGGGGAAUUUUGGACAAUGGGGGAAACCCUGAUCCAGCCAUCCCGCGUGUGCGAUGAAGGCCUUCGGAUUGUAAAGCACUUUUGGCAGGAAAGAAACGGCGCCUGCUAAUACCUGGCGCUUAUGACGGUACCUGCAGAAUAAGCACCGGCUAACUACGUGCCAGCAGCCGCGGUAAUACGUACGGUGCAAGCGUUAAUCGGAAUUACUGGGCGUAAAGCGUGCGCAGGCGGUUCGGAAAGAUAGAUGUGAAAUCCCAGAGCUGAACUUUGGAACUGCAUUUUUAACUACCUGGGCUAGAGUGUGUCAGAGGGAGGUGGAAUUCCGCGUGUAGCAGUGAAAUGCGUACAUAUGCGGAGGAACACCGAUGGGCGAAGGCAGCCUCCUGGACUGACACUGACCUCAUGCACGAAAGCGUGGGAGCAAACAGGAUUACAUACCCUGGGUAGUCCACGCCCUAAACGAUAGUCAACUACCUCGUUGGGGGCCCUUCGGGCCUUUAAUAGCGCAGCUAACGCGUGAAGUUGACCGCGCGGGGGAGUACGGGUCGCAAGAUUAAAACUCACAGGAAUUGACAGGGACCCGCACAGCGGUGGAUGAUGUGGAUUAAUUCAUACACGCCAAACCUUACCUACCCUUGACAUGUCUGGAAUCCUAACAAAUUGGGUAGUGCUC
RNAcentral lists this ribosomal RNA (944 nucleotides) under Bordetella pertussis. RNAcentral describes it as "bacterial SSU rRNA". It matches the Rfam family "Bacterial small subunit ribosomal RNA", at positions 76 to 1019 of the family's 1533-position model. Lineage: Bacteria; Pseudomonadati; Pseudomonadota; Betaproteobacteria; Burkholderiales; Alcaligenaceae. The record is from RNAcentral.